GAAGCUGGCUAGACAGUCGCUGCGAGCCUUGUGCUCGGAGAGGAAAGUCCGGGCUCCACAGAGCAGAAUGCCGGUUAAUGGCCGGACGCCGUGAGGCGAUGGAAAGUGCAACAGAGAAUAGACCGCCGAUGAGCUGAUUUCGGUCAGAGACAGGUAAGGGUGAAACGGUGGGGUAAGAGCCCACCGCGCUGCCGGUAACGGGAGUGGCACGGUAAACCCCAUUCGGAGCAAGAUCAAAUAGGCUGACUAUGACGUUGCUCGCGUCGUCAGCGGGUAGAUUGCUUGAGCGUCAGGUAACGAAACGCCUAGAGGAAUGACUGUCCACGACAGAACCCGGCUUAUCGGCCAGCUUCACCU
Non-coding RNA from Ferriphaselus amnicola, 357 nucleotides. The record is from Rfam. NCBI's taxonomy places the organism in Bacteria, Pseudomonadati, Pseudomonadota, Betaproteobacteria, Nitrosomonadales, Gallionellaceae.